GAUGAACGCUGGCGGCGUGCCUAAUACAUGCAAGUCGAGCGAACAGACGAGGAGCUUGCUCCUCUGACGUUAGCGGCGGACGGGUGAGUAACACGUGGAUAACCUACCUAUAAGACUGGGAUAACUUCGGGAAACCGGAGCUAAUACCGGAUAAUAUAUUGAACCGCAUGGUUCAAUAGUUAAAGACGGUUUUGCUGUCACUUAUAGAUGGAUCCGCGCCGCAUUAGCUAGUUGGUAAGGUAACGGCUUACCAAGGCGACGAUGGGUAGCCGACCUGUGAGGGUGAUCGGCCACACUGAAACUGAGACACGGUCCAGACUCCUACGGGAGGCAGCAGUAGGGAAUCUUCCGCAAUGGGGGAAAGCUUGCCGGAGCAACGCCGCGUGAGUGAUGAAGGUCUUCGGAUCGUAAAACUCUGUUAUUAGGGAAGAACAAAUGUGUAAGUAACUAUGCACGUCUUGACGGUACCUAAUCAGAAAGCCACGGCUAACUACGUG
RNAcentral lists this ribosomal RNA (497 nucleotides) under uncultured bacterium. Its description in RNAcentral is "partial 16S ribosomal RNA". It matches the Rfam family "Bacterial small subunit ribosomal RNA", at positions 28 to 507 of the family's 1533-position model. The record is from RNAcentral.